UACGGGGGGGGCAAGCGUUGUUCGGAAUUACUGGGCGUAAAGGGCUCGUAGGUGGCCAACUAAGUCAGACGUGAAAUCCCUCGGCUUAACCGGGGAACUGCGUCUGAUACUGGAUGGCUUGAGUGUGGGAGAGGGAUGCGGAAUUCCAGGUGUAGCGGUGAAAUGCGUAGAUAUCAGGAGGAACACCGGUGGCGAAGGCGGGUCUCUGGGCCGUAACUGACGCUGAGGAGCGAAAGCAUGGGGAGCGAACAGG
This 253-nucleotide ribosomal RNA is filed under the name uncultured bacterium. RNAcentral's name for it is "partial 16S ribosomal RNA". It matches the Rfam family "Bacterial small subunit ribosomal RNA", at positions 524 to 776 of the family's 1533-position model. The record is from RNAcentral.